AUUGAACGCUGGCGGCAUGCCUUACACAUGCAAGUCGAACGGCAGCACGGGAGCAAUCCUGGUGGCGAGUGGCGAACGGGUGAGUAAUAUAUCGGAACGUGCCCGGUCGUGGGGAUAACGUAGCGAAAGCUACGCUAAUACCGCAUACGAUCUACGGAUGAAAGCGGGGGAUCGCAAGACCUCGCGCGAUUGGAGCGGCCGAUAUCAGAUUAGGUAGUUGGUGAGGUAAAGGCUCACCAAGCCGACGAUCUGUAGCUGGUCUGAGAGGACGACCAGCCACACUGGGACUGAGACACGGCCCAGACUCCUACGGGAGCAGCAGUGGGGAAUUUUGGAACAAGUGGGCGCAAGCCUGAUCCAGCAAUGCCGCGUGCGAGGAUGAAGGCCUUCGGG
This 393-nucleotide ribosomal RNA is filed under the name uncultured bacterium. RNAcentral's name for it is "bacterial SSU rRNA". It matches the Rfam family "Bacterial small subunit ribosomal RNA", at positions 29 to 422 of the family's 1533-position model. The record is from RNAcentral.